This 309-nucleotide long non-coding RNA is filed under the name Manihot esculenta (cassava). RNAcentral's name for it is "long non-coding RNA (MESC_LNC011374)". Lineage: Eukaryota; Viridiplantae; Streptophyta; Magnoliopsida; Malpighiales; Euphorbiaceae. The record is from RNAcentral.
UAUAUAUAAGUGAGAAAAAGGAGAGAGAAGGGCAAGCGUCUACCACCUCCUCUCUUUGGUCAAACCUCUUAGAGAAAAAGAAUAGAUUUUUCUCCUAUUUGCUCUUAAGUUUUUUGGCACUAAACACUUCAGGGAUUGAAAGAGAUCAGAUCUGCAAUUGUAACGAUCCGGGAACCGGACCGCUACCGACGCUAGGAUUCAGAUCGACUUAAGGUCGCCGGAACCCGUAGCAAGCCUACUAUGCAUUCUGUGUACCUGAUAAAAUCCCAUACAUGAUCAUACAUUUUCAUAAAAAAUUUUAAACAUUUC